GCCCCGAUGGCCGAGUGGUUAAGGCGGAAGACUUAAGCUCAUUCACACUUCGUGUGUAUAUCUGCAGGUUUCUUCUGACGAAAGUCGCGCGAGUUCGAACCUCGUUCUGGGCA
This is a non-coding RNA of Xylaria cubensis, 113 nucleotides long. Lineage: Eukaryota; Fungi; Ascomycota; Sordariomycetes; Xylariales; Xylariaceae. The record is from the annotation of a GenBank genome assembly.